This 274-nucleotide ribosomal RNA is filed under the name uncultured bacterium. RNAcentral describes it as "partial 16S ribosomal RNA". It matches the Rfam family "Bacterial small subunit ribosomal RNA", at positions 523 to 796 of the family's 1533-position model. The record is from RNAcentral.
AUACGGAGGGUGCAAGCGUUAUCCGGAAUCAUUGGGUUUAAAGGGUCCGCAGGCGGACUAAUAAGUCAGUGGUGAAAUCCUCUCGCUUAACGAGAGAACUGCCAUUGAAACUGUUAGUCUUGAAUUCGGUCGAAGUAGGCGGAAUGUGUCAUGUAGCGGUGAAAUGCAUAGAUAUGACACAGAACACCGAUAGCGAAGGCAGCUUACUAGACCUGGAUUGACGCUCAUGGACGAGAGCGUGGGGAGCGAACAGGAUUAGAAACCCCAGUAGUCC